This 270-nucleotide ribosomal RNA is filed under the name uncultured prokaryote. Its description in RNAcentral is "partial 16S ribosomal RNA". It matches the Rfam family "Archaeal small subunit ribosomal RNA", at positions 474 to 743 of the family's 1478-position model. The record is from RNAcentral.
UACUAGCGGUCCAAGUCGCAGCCAUUUUUAUUGGGUCUAAAACAUCCGUAGCUUGCUUAAUAAGUUCUCUGUGAAAUCUUAUCUCUCAAGGGUGAGGCGAGCAAGGAAUACUACUAAGCUAGAGACUGGAAGACGUAAAGAGUAUGAUCAAAGUAGUGGUAAAAUACUUUAAUCUUGAUCAGACUAACAAUAGCGAAGGCACUUUACGAGGACAGUUCUGACAGUAAAGGAUGAAGGCUAGGGGCGCAAAACGGAUUAGAUACCCGCGUA